This 252-nucleotide ribosomal RNA is filed under the name uncultured bacterium. RNAcentral describes it as "partial 16S ribosomal RNA". It matches the Rfam family "Bacterial small subunit ribosomal RNA", at positions 524 to 776 of the family's 1533-position model. The record is from RNAcentral.
UACGUAUGGUGCAAGCGUUAUCCGGAUUUACUGGGUGUAAAGGGAGCGUAGGCGGGCUUUUAAGUCAGCGGUAAAAAUUCGCGGCUCAACCCCGUCCGGCCGUUGAAACUGGGGGUCUUGAGUGGGCGAGAAGAAGGCGGAAUGCGUGGUGUAGCGGUGAAAUGCAUAGAUAUCACGCAGAACCCCGAUUGCGAAGGCAGCCUUCCGGCGCCCUACUGACGCUGAGGCACGAAAGUGCGGGGAUCGAACAGG